This is a long non-coding RNA of Gossypium arboreum, 722 nucleotides long. RefSeq lists it as uncharacterized. The record is from RefSeq and is a predicted model, not a curated record. The transcript has 3 exons. NCBI's taxonomy places the organism in Eukaryota, Viridiplantae, Streptophyta, Magnoliopsida, Malvales, Malvaceae.
UUUGUGCUUAAGGAUCCGUUUAUUUGUCAGGUUGCUUGAAAAUAAAUUCCAUUGGUAAAACAUUUUCUAAAACACGGUAAAUGAGAUGGGCUUUUAGGGAAAAUGUCUUACCGAUUUUAUUUCUGUAAGACAUUUUCCUUCUUCCUCCACUCUCACCAAUUUGGUUCCUCCUCCUUCCGUUCUUCAUCUGUCCCUUCUAGAAUCUCAAUCAAGGGGGGAGAGAGGCGGGGCAUUCUUUGUGGAAGCUUUGUCGCUGAACUUGAGAAUUAAUUGAUAUGAAUAACGACUUUCAAGAACCUAGGUCAAAAGAAGAUGAUGGCUAUUCCAAGAUUUCUACAGUUUUAAAUCCUAUUUCUUCUGAAAAUUUUACUGCUCAAUCUACCUCUCGAAGCUGAUUGUUGCUAAUGAGAAUAUAUUGGAGAAGAAGCAUGAUUUUUACUCUACCAAACAGAAUGAGGAUUUUGCUGCUUUGGAGCAGGUAGUCACAUUUUCUAUUCUUGGGGUGCCACUAUGUCCAGGUUUCUAAUAAUUAUAGUGUUUUAUGGUUCAUCCCUUGGGCAAGUUAUACUGCUUGUAAUAACAAUUUCCUUACCAAACACAAUUAAACAUUUUUUGAAGUGUACUUUUUGAUGUCUUAGAAAUAUGCCAUUAUAAGUAUCCAUGGUUAUAUUUAACUCAUCUGAUGCAAUUUGACAUUCCAUAAUAUAUGCAAUUUAUUACUA